This 922-nucleotide ribosomal RNA is filed under the name uncultured archaeon. RNAcentral's name for it is "bacterial SSU rRNA". It matches the Rfam family "Archaeal small subunit ribosomal RNA", at positions 1 to 922 of the family's 1478-position model. The record is from RNAcentral.
UUCUGGUUGAUCCCGCCGGAGGCCACUGCUAUUGGGGUUCGGCUAAGCCAUGCGAGUGGAGGGCGUCCCGCAAGGGAUGGCCCCGCAGACGGCUCAGUAACACGUCGUCAACAUACCCUGGGGUGGGGGACAACCUCGGGAAACUGAGGAUAAUCCCCCAUAGGUGGGGGAGGCUGGAAUGCGCCCCUGCUGAAAGCUCAGGCGCCCUAGGACGGGGCGGCGGCCUAUCAGGUAGUUGGUGGUGUAACGGACCACCAAGCCUACGACGGGUACGGGCUGUGAGAGCAGGAGCCCGGAGAUGGGGACUGAGACAAGGCCCCAGGCCCUACGGGGCGCAGCAGGCGCGAAAACUCCGCAAUGCGCGCAAGCGUGACGGGGGAACCCCAAGUGCCGCUGAUCUUUGAUCGGCGGCUUUUCGGGAGUGCAGGGAGCUCCCGGAAUAAGGGCUGGGUAAGACUGGUGCCAGCCGCCGCGGUAAUACCAGCAGCCCGAGUGGUGGUCGCGUUUAUUGGGCCUAAAGCGCUCGUGGCCGGGCCGGUAAGUUCCCCGUGAAAUCGGGUCGCUCAACGAUUCGGCUUGCGGGGAAUACUGUCGGUCUUGGGGCCGGGAGACGCCGAGGGUACUCCGGGGGUAGCGGUGAAAUGCUGUAAUCCCUGGGGGACUACCAGUGGCGAAGCGCUCGGCGAGAACGGGCCCGACGGUGAGGGGCGAAAGCUGGGGGAGCGAACGGGAUUAGAUACCCCGGUAGUCCCAGCCGUAAAGGAUGCGGGCAAGGUGCUUGUCGCUCUUCGAGGGCGCCAGGUGCCGUAGAGAAGUCGUUAAGCCCCCGCUGGGAAGUACGGUCGCAGGGCUGAAACUUAAAGAAUUGGCGGGGGAGCACCACAAGGGGUGGACCUGCGGUUCAAUUGGAGUCAACGCCGGG